RNAcentral lists this ribosomal RNA (472 nucleotides) under uncultured bacterium. RNAcentral describes it as "bacterial SSU rRNA". It matches the Rfam family "Bacterial small subunit ribosomal RNA", at positions 28 to 507 of the family's 1533-position model. The record is from RNAcentral.
GACGAACGCUGGCGGCGUGCUUAACACAUGCAAGUCGAGCGGAGAUAUAUGGAAGGUUUACCUGAAAUAUAUCUUAGCGGCGGACGGGUGAGUAACGCGUGGGUAACCUGCCUUGUACAGGGGGAUAACACAGGGAAACUUGUGCUAAUACCGCAUAACACAGUUGGUUGGCAUCAAUUGACUGUCAAAGGAGGAAUCCGGUAUAAGAUGGACCCACGUCCGAUUAGCUAGUUGGCGGUGUAACGGACCACCAAGGCGACGAUCGGUAGCCGAACUGAGAGGUUGAUCGGCCACAUUGGGACUGAGACACGGCCCAGACUCCUACGGGAGGCAGCAGUGGGGAAUAUUGCGCAAUGGGGGAAACCCUGACGCAGCAACGCCGCGUGAAGGAAGAAGGUUUUCGGAUCGUAAACUUCUUUGAUGAGGGAAGAAUAAUGACGGUACCUCAAAACAAGCCACGGCUAACUACGUG